This 447-nucleotide ribosomal RNA is filed under the name Streptococcus cristatus. RNAcentral describes it as "bacterial SSU rRNA". It matches the Rfam family "Bacterial small subunit ribosomal RNA", at positions 35 to 470 of the family's 1533-position model. Lineage: Bacteria; Bacillati; Bacillota; Bacilli; Lactobacillales; Streptococcaceae. The record is from RNAcentral.
GCUGGCGGCGUGCCUAAUACAUGCAAGUAGAACGCUGAAGGGAGAGCUUGCUCUUCUGGAUGAGUUGCGAACGGGUGAGUAACGCGUAGGUAACCUGCCUGGUAGCGGGGGAUAACUAUUGGAAACGAUAGCUAAUACCGCAUAACAUUGACUAUUGCAUGAUAGUCAAUUGAACAGGCAAAUGCACCACUACCAGAUGGACCUGCGUUGUAUUAGCUAGUUGGUGGGGUAACGGCUCACCAAGGCGACGAUACAUAGCCGACCUGAGAGGGUGAUCGGCCACACUGGGACUGAGACACGGCCCAGACUCUACGGGAGGCAGCAGUAGGGAAUCUUCGGCAAUGGACGGAAGUCUGACCGAGCAACGCCGCGUGAGUGAAGAAGGUUUUCGGAUCGUAAAGCUCUGUUGUAAGAGAAGAACGAGUGUGAGAGUGGAAAGUUCACACU